RNAcentral lists this ribosomal RNA (472 nucleotides) under uncultured bacterium. RNAcentral's name for it is "partial 16S ribosomal RNA". It matches the Rfam family "Bacterial small subunit ribosomal RNA", at positions 28 to 523 of the family's 1533-position model. The record is from RNAcentral.
GACGAACGCUGGCGGCGUGCUUAACACAUGCAAGUCGAACGGGAGUAUUGAAGAAGCUUGCUUUAGAGAUACUUUAGUGGCGGACGGGUGAGUAACGCGUGAGGAGCUGUCCGAUGCAGGGGGACAACAGUUGGAAACGACUGCUAAUACCCCAUAAGCCGAGAGGUAAAAGGAUUUAUCCGGCAAUGGAGGUACUCGCGUCCUAUCAGCUAGUAGGUGAGGUAACGGCUCACCUAGGCGAAGACGGGUAGCCGGCCUGAGAGGGCGAACGGCCACACUGGAACUGAGAUACGGUCCAGACUCCUACGGGAGGCAGCAGUGGGGAAUAUUGGGCAAUGGGGGGAACCCUGACCCAGCGACGCCGCGUGGGUGAAGAAAUCCUUCGGGAUGUAAAGCCCUGUUGUAUGGGAAGGGCGGAAGACGGUACCAUACGAGGAAGCCCCGGCAAACUACGUGCCAGCAGCCGCAGUAA